AAUAUUGUAAAAACAAGGUGAAAGGAACAAAAAAAUAAUGGCAGAGGUGUUAAUAGUUUUAACGAUAAAGAUAUUUUAAGGUAUUUUAAAAAUAUAGGAAGUAAACGCGUGUUGGAGAAUUUGAAUUAUAAAACACAAAUUUUAUUAGAGAAAGUUCAAAAACAUUACAAGAACAAUUCACACACUCACAAAUCACUCUUAGAAGCUAUUUUCCUUCUUAUGUUUUUUUCUACUUACACUUGAUGCAUACAACACAACUGGCAUAGGUAUUUAUAGUGAAUGAAACACAAACAUAAUCAUAACAAUAUACAUCACCUAACAUGUUCCACCAAGUUUCAUCAUAGCACCAAACAUAUUCCACUCACCUAACAUGCUCUAAAAGAAUCCUUUAAUGGCAUCCGAAGUAUAAAGCUAAUCUCACUCAAUUAGAUGCUUCAUGGGCAUAAUAUUGUAGGACCAUGAUGAUGGAGCAUGAUGAUGUGCAACUCAACACGGCAUUCCAUUUAAAUGAAUUAUUUGUGUAAAACAAGUUUAUUGUUUUCAACAACGCAUACUAACAUCAAAUAUAUAGAUUAAACAAGCUUCUACCCCUAAAUUUUUUACAUGUCUUUAAAGGUAAUUAAUGUUAGAUUUUUAACAGAAGAGGGUUUCGCUGAUUUUCCCAUGCAUUAAAAAAUGGACUAAAUGUCAAUUAAAACCUUUUUUUAAUUAAAAAUUUAGGUGUAAAGUUAACAACCAAGUAUUCAACACUUAACACAUGUCAAGCAAAUGAUUAACAAUGCAUCACUUGGUAUAUAUACCAACAAUGUAUCCUAACCUAACAAUAUAAAUUUAGUAUUUUUCUUCUUUUGGCCUGGGUCCUUAGCGUAGUUUCAUCGAAGAUCAAAGAAAGAAAUGUUAUUUUAUUAAUAAUGUUAAAGAUCCCAACAUUUGAGUUUUAAUGUGAGUUCCAAUUGUUAUGUGUCAAAUCUAUUAGAUGAUAAAUUUUAUAUCUUACAAAAUUGUUAUUGUACCAUUUAAUAAAAAAACACCACAUCUAUUAGGGCUUAAGUUGAAACUCAAAAAACUACCUCUUCCUUUUCUGUGCUAAUAAAUGGGGUGGCUAAAGGGCUGAUCCAACCUCAAAGAGGUUUAAGGCAAGGAUGCCCAUUGUCCCCAUAUCUUUUUAUUCUCUGUGCAGAGACUUUUACAAAUCUUUUACAGCAAGCAGAAUCUCAGCAAUUGAUUCAUGGGAUAAAAUUCAGCAAUGAACUUUCCAUCACUCAUCUUUUGUUCGCUGACGAUAAUUUGAUUUUUACAAGAGCCACAAGGGAGGAUUGCACAAAUUUAAAGAAGAUUUUUGAGUGUUAUGCUGCAGCCUCUGGGCAGAUUUUCAAUUUCGAGAAGUCGUCUAUGUUUUUCAGUGAGAGUACCAAGCCGGAGCAGAUUUCUUCAAUUACAACCAUCUUCCAACUUCAGGUGGUAUCCAGACAUGCGAAAUACUUAGGGCUGCCCUCCAUGGUGGGUAGAAACAAGACGUGUUUUUUUAAGGAUAUCAAACUCAGAGUUCUUCGAAAGAUUUCGAACUGGCAAGCAAAUUUGUUCUCUUGUGGGGGGAAGGAGGUGUUGAUAAAGGCUAUAACUCAAGCGAUGCCUGCAUAUGCCAUGAGUGUGUUUAAGCUCCCCCUAGGACUUUGUGAUGACAUGCAGAAAGCAAUUGCUAGUUUUUAGUGGGGAAGCAGCCGAGAUCACAAGUCAAUUCAUUGGUCGAAAUGGAAUAAUUUGUGUCAACCAAAGAGUAGAGGUGGGCUGGGAUUUCGAAACUUGUCCAGCUUUAAUCAGGCCUUAGUAGCAAAGCAGAGCUGGAGGAUCAUCCAAGAGCUGGAGUCACUGGUAGCAAAAGUCUUAAAGGCAAGAUACUUUAAAAACUCAAGUCUGAUGCAGGCUCAGUUAGGCUCAUAUCCUUCCUUUAUAUGGAGGAGUAUUUUAUGGGGCUGAAAUGUAUUAGAAAAAGGGUUACGCUGGAGAAUUGGAAAUGGUGAGCAGCUGCUAGUGUAUCAAAGUCAAUGGAUUCCUAGACCUAUAACUUUUCAGCCAAUAUCCCCCCCAUCAUUGAACCCAGAUACAACUGUUGCAGAGCUGACAAAUGAGGAGCAAAGCUGGAAAGAAGUUGUAAUUAGGCAACAUUUUCUUAAAGAAGAUGCUGAUCAAAUUUUGAAAAUUCCUUUGCCAAGACAACCAAAACCAGACCAAGUGUUGUGGUACGAUGACAAGAAGGGUAAUUAUUCAGUUAAAAGUGGUUACCAAGUGGCUAUGAAAAUACAUUUUCCUAAGAAACCAAGCUGCUCGGGUGAGAAUGAUAAGUCUUGGCAUGCUAUUUGGUAUCUGCAACUUCCGAAAAAAGUUAAAAUCUUCAUGUGGAGGGCAGCAAAUAAUUUGUUGGCAACGGCAGGAAAUCUUUGGAAGAGGACAGUGGUGCAAUUCCCUUGGUGCCAGAGAUGUAAGUUAUGAAAGGAGACUGUUUUCCACACUCUCUAUGAAUGCAAAGCUUCAAGGAAAAUAUGGAGGCUAACCCCUUUUGGUGAGGAUAUUGAGUUUAGCAAUGGAAGAGAUGUUCUAAGCUUGCUACAGGAUUUGAAUGAAAAAAGGAGAAAAUCUGAGAUGGAACUGAUUGUUGCUGUGUGCUGGAGCAUCUGGCACUUAAGGAACCUUUUCCUCUUCAAAAACAAAAAAGAAGAUCCCCAUCUAUCAGUUGCGGCAGCAGAAGCAAUGGUGCAAUCUUGUAGCAGAAUCCAAAUGCCCCAAAUGCAAGGUAACUCCCAGCAGAGUACUGCUAAUCAGAAACAAUGGAAACACCCUCCAGAGGGUUGGUUCAAAGUUAACGUUGAUGCAGCAGUAGGAGUGGAACAACAAAGAGCUGGCCUGGGAAUUGUUAUAAGGAAUUCAGGAGGAAAGUUAUAGUUGCAGCAAUGAAGCCCUCAAAGUUUAUUGGCAAGAUUGAUUUUGCAGAAGCUGAAGCUAUCAGGCUCGGGUUGGAGAUAGCAGAAAAUGUUGGAUGUUUUCCACUAAUUGUGGAAUAUGACGGACAGGAAGUGGUGGACUUAGUCAAUUUCAAGAAAAGCUCAAGAGCUGAAAUAUUUUGGGUUGCUUCUGAAAUCCAAGACCAAGUAAAGAGGCUGAACCAGGUGAAAGUACAAUAUACCCCAAGAGGGUGCAAUACAUUAGCUCAUUCUCUUGCAAGACUAGCAUUAGAGCUAAAUGAUUUUGUUUUUUGGGUAGAAAAUAUACCCUCAGAUUUUUUGUACCUAUUCACAUAGUUGGAUGAAUGAAAGUAAUACUUUCUCUCAAAAAAAAAAAAGUUGAAACUCAAAUGUUAAUAUCUCUAACAUUACUUGUUAACAUUUCAUUUAAUUGAACCAAAAGGAAGAAAAAAAUUGCAAAUUGAAACGGUGCUGAGUUGUAUCACUGCCGAUGUUGAAUCGACUACCGCAAGAUGAUGCAAAUAACUUAAACACAUUACAGAAGCCCAAUCACCAACACUACAUAGAAAGUAAGAUCCGUAAACACAUUUUGUUUAUUCUAUUUUGUGUUCUGAACAUUCAUUAGCUAGACGGGCUGUUAAGACUCACACAACGUAAACUGAAUAAUAAGUUAAUUAAUCAACAAGCACAAAACUUGAAAAUUUUCUGACUGCUGUAGGUGGGCGCGCUCUACACUUACAUCAUACAAAAUGCUUCUUUAUCAUAAUUUUAAAAUGAAUGGACUUUAUUAAUCCAACUAAUAUGAUCAUCAUUAUAAAGUUUGGACUAAUCAUCAACUUAUUAGAUGCUUCAUUAGAUGCAAUUGAUCCUAUCCAAUAUACAUAUGCUUUAAAUUUCUUAUAAGAAUUAUGAUGUUCCAUUAGUUCAAAAAAUUGGUGGCUGUAUUUUGAUAUAUAAUCUGAAUAUAAUUUUCUAUUCUUUUUUUUUUUUUAAAAAAGGAUUAGGUAGUCAACAUAUGCCAAAUCAAUUUUUUUUGGCCCCCACUCCAAUCUAGGUAGCCAAUUAAAUAAAAUUACUUAAAAAUAUUUGGUCAAACACUCUUGAGGAAUAAUUUUCUAAAAUUUAUUUUUGACUAACUGUAUGGAUGAAUUUUCCUUGCAGUGAAUAUUUAUCUCCUUUAACACAA
This 4146-nucleotide long non-coding RNA is filed under the name Citrus x clementina. RNAcentral's name for it is "Citrus clementina (C. clementina) long non-coding RNA (CCLE_LNC005556)". The record is from RNAcentral. Lineage: Eukaryota; Viridiplantae; Streptophyta; Magnoliopsida; Sapindales; Rutaceae.